RNAcentral lists this ribosomal RNA (307 nucleotides) under uncultured soil bacterium. RNAcentral describes it as "bacterial SSU rRNA". It matches the Rfam family "Bacterial small subunit ribosomal RNA", at positions 26 to 363 of the family's 1533-position model. The record is from RNAcentral.
AGAACGAACGCUGGCGGCAUGCCUAACACAUGCAAGUCGAACGAGACCUUCGGGUCUAGUGGCGCACGGGUGCGUAACGCGUGGGAAUCUGCCCUUGGGUUCGGGAUAACAGUUGGAAACGACUGCUAAUACCGGAUGAUGUCUUCGGACCAAAGAUUUAUCGCCCAGGGAUGAGCCCGCGUAAGAUUAGCUAGUUGGUGGGGUAAAAGCCUACCAAGGCGACGAUCUUUAGCUGGUCUGAGAGGAUGAUCAGCCACACUGGGACUGAGACACGGCCCAGACUCCUACGGGAGCAGCAGUGGGAAUA